GAUGAACGCUAGCGGGAGGCUUAAUACAUGCAAGUCGAACGGUAAGGUCAGAGCUUGCUCUGAUACACGAGUGGCGCACGGGUGAGUAACGCGUACACUACCUACCUUUAACAGAGGGAUAGCCCUGGGAAACUGGGAUUAAUACCUCAUAGUAUUGCGGUUUUAGAUUGCAAUUAAAGCUCCGGCGGUUAAAGAUGGGUGUGCGUACUAUUAGCUAGUUGGUAAGGUAACGGCUUACCAAGGCAACGAUAGUUAGGGGGCGUGAGAGCGUGAUCCCCCACACGGGUACUGAGACACGGACCCGACUCCUACGGGAGGCAGCAGUAAGGAAUAUUGGACAAUGGGCGCAAGCCUGAUCCAGCCAUCCCGCGUGAAGGAUGACUGCCCUAUGGGUUGUAAACUUCUUUUGUAUGGGAAGAACUAUUGUCAUUUAUGAUGAUUUGACGGUACCAUACGAAUAAGCACCGGCUAACUCCG
RNAcentral lists this ribosomal RNA (477 nucleotides) under uncultured Saprospiraceae bacterium. RNAcentral describes it as "bacterial SSU rRNA". It matches the Rfam family "Bacterial small subunit ribosomal RNA", at positions 28 to 505 of the family's 1533-position model. Lineage: Bacteria; Pseudomonadati; Bacteroidota; Saprospiria; Saprospirales; Saprospiraceae. The record is from RNAcentral.